GUGCACCAGGCGCGAAUCUUCGGCAAUGGACGCAAGUCUGACCGAGCGACGCCGCGUGCGGGAUGAAGGCCCUUGGGUUGUAAACCGCUGUCAGAGGGGAUGAAAUGCGAGAGGGCUAUCCCUCUCGUUUGACAGAGCCUCAGAGGAAGCACGGGCUAAGUACGUGCCAGCAGCCGCGGUAACACGUACUGUGCGAACGUUAUUCGGAAUCACUGGGCUUAAAGGGUGCGUAGGCGGUUUAGUAAGUAGGGUGUGAAAUGCCAGAGCUCAACUUUGGCACGGCGCUCUAAACUGCUAAACUUGAGUGAGAUAGGGGUGUACGGAACUUCCGGUGGAGCGGUGAAAUGCGUUGAUAUCGGAAGGAACACCGGUGCGAAAGCGGUACACUGGGUCUUAACUGACGCUGAGGCACGAAAGCCAGGGUAGCGAACGGGAUUAGAUACCCGCGUAGU
Molecule: ribosomal RNA, 452 nt
Filed under: uncultured microorganism
Description: bacterial SSU rRNA
Rfam family: Bacterial small subunit ribosomal RNA
Source: RNAcentral